GGUUCCAUAGUGUAGCGGUUAAUAUGUCUGCUUUAUACACAGAAGGUCCUGCAUUUGUGCCCCAGUGGAGCCA
Molecule: transfer RNA, 73 nt
Filed under: Pteropus alecto (black flying fox)
Lineage: Eukaryota; Metazoa; Chordata; Mammalia; Chiroptera; Pteropodidae
Also listed under: 1 other name
Rfam family: tRNA
About the family: Transfer RNA (tRNA) molecules are approximately 80 nucleotides in length.
Source: Rfam by way of RNAcentral